UACGAAGGGGGCUAGCGUUGCUCGGAAUCACUGGCGUAAAGCGCACGUAGGACGGAUUGCUAAGUCAAGGGGUGAAAUCCUGGAGCUCAAACUCCAGGAACUCGCCCCUUGAUACUGGCGGUCGUCGAGUCCGGGAGAGGUGAGUGGAACUGCGAGUGUAGAGGUGAAAUUCGUAGAUAUUCGCAAGAACACCAGUCGGCGAAGGCGGAGCU
Molecule: ribosomal RNA, 212 nt
Filed under: uncultured bacterium
Lineage: Bacteria
Description: partial 16S ribosomal RNA
Rfam family: Bacterial small subunit ribosomal RNA
Source: RNAcentral